RNAcentral lists this unclassified non-coding RNA (270 nucleotides) under uncultured fungus. RNAcentral describes it as "partial contains 5.8S ribosomal RNA, internal transcribed spacer 2, and large subunit ribosomal RNA". Lineage: Eukaryota; Fungi. The record is from RNAcentral.
AACGCACAUUGCGCCCCCCGGCCAUUCCGGGGGGCAUGCCUGUUCGAGCGUCAUUUAACACCCAUCAAGCCCUGCUUGGCCUUGAGCGACCCGGCCGCUACCCCAGCGGCCGCGCUCGAAAGGGGUCGGUCGCGGUCACAACGCCCCGAAGCAAUCGAGACGCAAGUCAUCUGCUUCGCUGGGUGCGGUGUGCCCGUGCGCCCACGCCUACUUCGGUAGGACCUUUCUUAGUUUGACCUCGGAUCAGGUAGGGAUACCCGCUGAACUUAA